GCCACCGCCGACAGUUGCGAUCGACGAGAUCUAAAGAUAGAUCGAUCGAGAUACGCGACUAUAAUUGAAGACGAUACAAACUCUGUGAUUCGAAGUUAUCUUGCAACAAAAUUGCUGCUGUAUAUUAAUGCGACAAUCAUUUUUUGGAAUUGCACUUCUUGGAUUUCUCGAGCGUUUUGGAAAAACUUCCCUUACAAAAGGAAGAAGAAUUGGAAGAAUGGAAACUCUGGAACACUCACCACGCCCACAGCUUCUAACGCGAACAACGUUGUACCAAAAUAAAGGGCGAAGUUCCUCAAGGUACCAAACAUCUCCCUCUCGCUAGGAGAUGGAAGGUCCUCGAACAUGUAGACUAGGAUCAUGGCAAGGCCGACGAAUGUGAUCGCGUUCGCCAGGGUGGAGAACGGCGCCAGUAGCUUCAGAUUCCUUACGUAAUUGAUUAAAAUCAACGGUAGCAAUAAAAUGAGCAUGUGCGUUUUAACAUCCAACGGUUCCCAGUACUCGUCUGCCACCUGCAUUUAGCAACAGAAAAAUGGACAAUGUUUAAGUAUAUACAUCCGAAUGAUCCGUUUUGUGAUAGAGUUGUUUCAUUUUCUUUUUCUUUUAAUCUUUUUUUUAUCAUUACAUUAUUUUGUUUUGAUUUGGCACUUUUUCCUCUGCUUUUUGGGGUGACGAAGAGGGUUGGUAUCUCUACACCUGUUAUUUACCUGCUUUAUAUUCGACGCUACAAAUACGAUAUAAACGCAGCAUAUUCCCAAUUGAUACGCUAUCAUGAACCCGUCUACGAGUCCUCUGGAAAUAAUAGCAACUUUCAUGUUACAAUUGAAGGAGAACUAUGACGCCGCUGUGUGAUUGAUGAUUGUGCGUGCGUGUAUGAGAGACAGAGAUAUAGACAAAUGGAUAGAGGCAGAGAGAGAGAGAGAGAGAAAGAGAGAGAGAGAGAGUGGGAGGAGAGUCGAUUUUCUGAUGUGAAAUAGAUUGUUCGAAGUUAGUCUAUCAUUAGCGAUCUCUGAUCCGAGUGAAAUGAUUGCUCUGGCAAUUUUCCAAUUCUGACCAAAAUUUGUCUACUCAUAUAUGUAAUGUUUGAAAUUAUGCAAAGUUAUUUUUAUCUGUCAUUUGUAAUACCAAAUAUUGUUCCUUCUACACGAGAAGACUAUGAACCCACUUGUUUGUCUUUGGUAGAAGCUGAAAAUAGAAACCAAGGCAUACAGGACGUAAGUAGAAUCGAUCAAUCAUAACCAGACUAUAUCCGUUUCAAGAAAAUUACGCUAAAACUUCACGAAGCUACGUAAACUAAUCUAGGUCGAAUGUUUCAGUAAAAUCGAAUCUGUUUGACACACAGGUAGACUGCUAUGCAAAUUAAGAGGGCGAUACAUCUCGAAAAAUCAAUUAGACGACACGCUGAUCUAUCUACAAGAACUGAAAAUAUUGAUUAUGUCAAUUUCUACAUUAUUCUUGCUUCUUGUGAUUGAUCUAUCAAUUAAUUUUGUAUUCUAACAUUAUUUAGUAGUUCCUUUUUAUUAUUAUUAUGUAGAAGUUCCAAUGACUAGACUGCGGACGUUUAUGAAAACAUUGUAAUUUGUAAUAGCAAUUACUCAAUUCGACAUCUAAUCGUAUAAAACAUGAUUGUGUCUACUAAUAGAAAGGCUCAGAGAAUUUUCAAUUAUCAUUGCCUUGCACAAACAUAAAAUCCGCAGAUGUUUACCCAACAGGUGACUUUAUGCAAAACAGAAACUGCUUGUAUUAAUUGCAAGUUAACUGAGCUGUAUAGACAUUCAUUUCAUUUUUUGAUAGUUGUGACUAGUUGAAAUUAAUACAGAAUCAUUCUUAAAUUCCUAGAAUGUCUCCGCUGCGUUUGAUCUACUGAUUUUCGUCAUAAAAUCCGCAGUCGAUUAGGUUACAGUUCAAGCAAUGAUAAGCAAGAAGAAGACGAAUGUUCUGUGCGUGUCUAUGUGGCCGUGUCGAGUGCUCUUACUUACGGUGCGUAAGGUGCGAACCAUCGGACACACUCCGGCCCUUCCUGCAAAGCGUACUUCAUGCUCAUCGGGUAACUCAAUAUAGGAACUCUUAACCGUUUACACAGUUUGUACUGAGCCUUCACCAAUACGUGAAGGCAAUAAGUGCAUAACACUCCGAUAAUCACUGUCGCUAUCACACCAGUCACCAGUCCACUGUUGCAGAACGCGUUCGGCAUCGCCAAGAUCCCUGUACCGAGACUCCCUUUCAACAAGUGGAUCAACGUUUCCGCAUUUCUGAAAGCAACCAAUCAUUCGCAUCAAUGAUCGUCAUUAAUUUCGUCGAUAAUGCUUCAGUAUACAAAGGAGAAACAGAAUAAGAAUUUCGAUUACUCACGAGGUUGGAUUCGGCCUAUUUCGAUGCUUAUGGGGGUCAUAGUCUUCUGCGUCUGCAGCCGGCGAUAUUGGGACUUCCGACGCGUUCAGGCCACUUCCGGCGAUUUCAUUGUUAACCCUGCAAUCGCAUCAAUUUGCAAAUGUAAUCGGUAUUUCCGAGUUUUGUCAGUGGAACUCGGGAUAGCCCAUGUGUGUAUAUGCGUGCGUGUGUAUACUUAGCGAGCAGCAAUUUGUAAAUAUAUGAUAAUGCCAUAA
Molecule: long non-coding RNA, 2606 nt
Organism: Megalopta genalis
Lineage: Eukaryota; Metazoa; Arthropoda; Insecta; Hymenoptera; Halictidae
Source: RefSeq, a predicted model, not a curated record